GAUGAACGCUGGCGGCGUGCCUAACACAUGCAAGUCGAGCGAGAAGGUUAUGACGGAUUCUUCGGAUGACGGAUUAACUGGAAAGCGGCGGACGGGUGAGUAACGCGUGGGUAACCUGCCCCAUACACAGGGAUAGCCAUUGGAAACGAUGAUUAAUACCUGAUAACACAUAUUGAUCGCAUGGUUGAAAUGUCAAAGAUUUAUCGGUAUGGGAUGGACCCGCGUCUGAUUAGCUAGUUGGUGGGGUAACGGCCUACCAAGGCGACGAUCAGUAGCCGGCCUGAGAGGGUGACCGGCCACACUGGAACUGAGACACGGUCCAGACUCCUACGGGAGGCAGCAGUGGGGAAUAUUGCACAAUGGGCGAAAGCCUGAUGCAGCGACGCCGCGUGAACGAUGAAGGCUUUCGAGUCGUAAAAGUUCUGUUCUUGGGGAAGAUAACGACGGUACCCAAGGAGAAAGCACCGGCUAAAUACGUG
This 479-nucleotide ribosomal RNA is filed under the name uncultured bacterium. RNAcentral describes it as "bacterial SSU rRNA". It matches the Rfam family "Bacterial small subunit ribosomal RNA", at positions 28 to 507 of the family's 1533-position model. The record is from RNAcentral.